Molecule: ribosomal RNA, 501 nt
Filed under: uncultured bacterium
Lineage: Bacteria
Description: bacterial SSU rRNA
Rfam family: Bacterial small subunit ribosomal RNA
Source: RNAcentral
UCAGGAUGAACGCUAGCGACAGGCCUAACACAUGCAAGGUCAGGGGCAGCGCGGGAGAAGCUUGCUUUCCUGGCGGCGACCGGCGCACGGGUGCGUAACAGGUGUGCAAUCUGUCCAUAGUCGGGGGAUAGCCCAGCGAAAGCUGAAUUAAUACUCCAUGUGAAUCGAAGCCGCAUGACUUUGAUUUGAAACGCAAGGACUAUGGGUGAGCACGCUUCUGAUUAGGUAGUUGGUGGGGUAACGGCCCACCAAGCCGACGAUCAGUAGGGGUUCUGAGAGGAAGGUCCCCCACAUUGGAACUGAGACACGGUCCAAACUCCUACGGGAGGCAGCAGUGAGGAAUAUUGGUCAAUGGGCGAGAGCCUGAACCAGCCAAGUCGCGUGAAGGAUGAAGGUUCUAUGGAUUGUAAACUUCUUUUGUCCGAGGGUAAAAAAGGCCACGUGUGGCUUCUUGCAAGUAUCGGACGAAUAAGCAUCGGCUAACUCCGUGCCAGCCGCCGC